This is a long non-coding RNA of Xiphias gladius (swordfish), 2118 nucleotides long. RefSeq lists it as uncharacterized. The record is from RefSeq and is a predicted model, not a curated record. Lineage: Eukaryota; Metazoa; Chordata; Actinopteri; Istiophoriformes; Xiphiidae. The transcript is spliced from 3 exons.
CGGUAGAAACGGGCCGGUGCACCGGCGUGCUGCAGCUGUGUUCAUCCUCACCCGUCAGCCACACUAAAGGAGACAGAGGCCCAGCAGAUAAUCACUCUCUGUAGCUGACAACCAUCGUUACUUGGAGUCCUGUUGGUUUCGUUCUGUUUUUACGUUUAAAAAUUACGGCCAGGCAGCGUUUCACACAACAUGGCUACCUUUCAUUUGCUGUUAAAUUGUGUUACUUACAAGCUUUGCUAAUUUUUCUAAUUAUUAUUAUUAUUAUUUUGUUUAUGUGUUCUGAUAUUUGCUGCUCCCGUUAAAUAAAAAUAACAGUGACAUAACAGUGGCUGUGACAUUAUCUGAGCAUCCGUUACCUCUACCUGCCGAUGAAGACCGAGAGAUGUGGUAGAAAGCCCAGGAGAGUACCAGACUGUCCAUCAUUUCUCAACACACUCCGUAGCAGCCUCCCACGAAGCAUCAGAUGAGCCAAAUCGGCGCACAUCUUUAAAAAACAUUGCCUUAAAACAACGAUUUAAAAACGUUUGCUCCAUGCUGGAUGUCUUUGGAGUGAAACAUUUCCAUCUCACCGCAGCUGGGAUGGAAACUGUGUCAUGCUCGCUCUGCGGCGGUGGUGGAUGUGUCUUUCUUCUUCAAAGAGUCGCAGAGUUUCCAAUAAAGUUUCGAGUUCAGGGUGGAAAUCAGCCGCAGCUGAGACAGAGCGGCUGUUUCCUGUCGUUCUCCGUCGCAUGUUCGCCGAGUAUCUGGCUCUGAUUUGCUGUCGAGUGAGACUCUUGGGCUUCGGCUUGUUUGUUCUUCUCCUUCUAAUUAGCUUGAAGUGUAAUUUGUUCAUUAACCAGCAUUGCUUUUGAAGAGAAAAGUUACCAAUAACAUAAACGGUAGUGCACAUAGUUGGUGGUGUGACACCAACUGCUGUGUCCGUGUUCCUACUUCAAAUUAAAAGCAUUGAACAAAUACAGUCCUGACAUUUACAACACCUCUAUAUCUUUUUCAUCACUUGCUCCCUUCUUUGUUACUGUUGCUAUAUGCGUGUCAGGCUCUCUCAUCUUGCGCCAGACAUAAUGUGACAGUAAUAUGGCAUUAAGUGCUAUGUGCUGAUAAUAAAGGAAAAGAAGAUGAACUGAAGUAAACGACACAGGGUCUUAAACAAACAAAAAGAAGGUUUUGCAGGCUGUGCAACUUAUGUUUUCUCACGUUCAGAUGUUGGCCAUCACACUCAAAUUUGCUAUGUAAUUAUGCCUUCUUUAAGGGCUUUAAGCUUUGUAUGUGUCAGCAUGUUGAGUGUCAGAGAGAUUCCCUCAUGUGCCUGCAUGGUUCAAGUCACGUAGAGCCUCCAUUUGUUUAUCUCUGCGUUUUCUGUAACAACCACCCAGACACACACACAAACAUACACAAACACUGACAGCCCACACACCCAGCUCAGUUAGUAAGAUAAAAUGGACGUCUUUGUGAAACCAAAUUUAGCUUUCAUAUCGAACGAAUCUCAAUUUCCCUGGGUGAAAUGCUAGAUUAAUCUAAACUGAACCGAGGUCAGUCUGACAGAAGGUCAGAGGUCAAGGCAGGCUGGGUGUCACUGACCUCUGCGGCAUCACAGCAGAUCGUGGACGGUGGUGAGAAAGCUCCAGGAUCAGCUCAGAAAACCAAACACUCAAGUAUCUUGGAGAAAACUUCAGUAGUUUUUCAAAAGUGAAAUCGUGUCCUUAUGUUUUUCUUGUUAGUACAGAAGUUAAAUUACGUCAACUUCUUUAAUAUUGACUGAAGAGAUAUUGGAGGAAGAAACAGGCUCAUCGUUUUUUUUAUUUGAGGCCAUAAAAUGCCCAAAUUCAAACAUUCUUUAAAGCUGCAAUAAUCGAUAUUUAUAUAUUGAACCAGCAGCGUUUUAGUGUCUUUCAGCUCCUUGUUUGGGUUUUACAGGCCUUACUGCUAUAGUUCGCUCUCACCGCUGCCAUAGAGUCGUUUUUGGCCUCAGCAGGCAGCUGUUUUCAGAAAAAAAGCAACAAAAUCCCAUUGUCCACUACCUGCUCGGCGGCAAACACUAGCAACUCGCUGGUGAACACAGUGGAGCAUUUCACGGCUGAAGAGCCAGAUAUUUCCCUCAGGAGUUGGUGGAGACCAAAA